Molecule: non-coding RNA, 198 nt
Organism: Poecilia reticulata (guppy)
Lineage: Eukaryota; Metazoa; Chordata; Actinopteri; Cyprinodontiformes; Poeciliidae
Source: RefSeq, a predicted model, not a curated record
GAGACCACUGAUGAAAACCUGAGGAAAGUCUUAUUCCGGCUUAAUCCAGACCAGAUUAAACAUGAAAGAUACUCACAGACCGAACGACUCACCUGUCAGAACGGGUCAUAAGGCAGCAGGCAGACUGAGUCCUGCAGCUCUGCACUAACUGCAAACAAAAAGAGGAGCAAAAGUAUGAAGAAGGUAAGAGCACAGCUG